CCUACGGGUGGCUGCAGUGGGGAAUAUUGCACAAUGGGGGAAAGCCUGACGGAGCAACGCCGCGUGAUCGAAUGAAGGCCUUCGGGUUGUAAAGAUCUGUUGACAGGGACGAAUAAGCCAUGCGAAUAGUUUGGUGUAUGACGGUACCUGUUUAGAAAGCUCCGGCUAACUACGUGCCAGCAGCCGCGGUAAUACGUAGGGAGCAAGCGUUGUCCGGAAUUACUGGGCGUAAAGGGCGCGUAGGUGGGUGAUUAAGUCAGGUGUGAAAACUCUGGGCUCAACCUUGAGACUGCACUUGAAACUGGGUAUCUUGAGGGCAGGAGAGGAAAGUGGAAUUCCUAGUGUAGCGGUGAAAUGCGUAGAUAUUAGGAGGAACACCAGUGGCGAAGGCGACUUUCUGGACUGUACCUGACGCUGAGGCGCGAAAGCGUGGGUAGCGAACGGGAUUAGAUACCCCUGUAGUC
This 464-nucleotide ribosomal RNA is filed under the name uncultured bacterium. Its description in RNAcentral is "partial 16S ribosomal RNA". It matches the Rfam family "Bacterial small subunit ribosomal RNA", at positions 338 to 795 of the family's 1533-position model. The record is from RNAcentral.